UGUUCUCUUUGUGUUGCCAUCUGUUGGAUCAGUGUGUGUUGUGGUUCUACUGGUGUUAUUGGUUCUGCUGGUGAAACGAUGUGUUCACAGGAAACCUGAAGCAGAUCAAGAAAAAACUGGAGAAGAUGACAUCCUUACUGACAUCAUGUGCAGUAUAAUCAACAUAUCAAAAAAUCAACAAGCGCCAAUCAGAGAAAUCCGAGAGACGGAUUCAGAUGCAGUCUACUCAGCAGUGAAAACUAAAAAUGACAGUUAUGGACAAAAAACUAUCAGAACAAGAAGGGCCAGACUUUAAACCAGAGCCAGACGUUGUCUACUCUUCACUGAAGUUGUCAACCAGUCCAGCCACUGACGUCCAGCUGCUGGUCUCUAACUGGGC
Maylandia zebra (zebra mbuna) is the source of this 379-nucleotide non-coding RNA. The record is from RefSeq and is a predicted model, not a curated record. NCBI's taxonomy places the organism in Eukaryota, Metazoa, Chordata, Actinopteri, Cichliformes, Cichlidae.